This 491-nucleotide ribosomal RNA is filed under the name uncultured bacterium. RNAcentral's name for it is "partial 16S ribosomal RNA". It matches the Rfam family "Bacterial small subunit ribosomal RNA", at positions 30 to 507 of the family's 1533-position model. The record is from RNAcentral.
UUGAACGCUGGCGGCAUGCUUUACACAUGCAAGUCGAACGGUAACAGGCCUUCGGGUGCUGACGAGUGGCGAACGGGUGAGUAAUGCAUCGGAACGUGCCCAGAGGUGGGGGAUAACGCAGCGAAAGCUGUGCUAAUACCGCAUGUGAUCUGAGGAUGAAAGCGGGGGACCAAGCAGCAAUGUUUGGCCUCGCGCCUCUGGAGCGGCCGAUGUCAGAUUAGGUAGUUGGUGGGGUAAAGGCCUACCAAGCCGACGAUCUGUAGCUGGUCUGAGAGGACGACCAGCCACACUGGGACUGAGACACGGCCCAGACUCCUACGGGAGGCAGCAGUGGGGAAUUUUGGACAAUGGGCGCAAGCCUGAUCCAGCAAUGCCGCGUGCGGGAAGAAGGCCUUCGGAUUGUAAACCGCUUUUGUACGGAACGAAAAGGCUCUGGCUAAUACCUGGGGCUGAUGACGGUACCAUAAGAAUAAGCACCGGCUAACUACGUG